Molecule: non-coding RNA, 945 nt
Organism: Agelaius phoeniceus (red-winged blackbird)
Lineage: Eukaryota; Metazoa; Chordata; Aves; Passeriformes; Icteridae
Source: RefSeq, a predicted model, not a curated record
AUGCUGGACUUACCUCUGAGGAUGUGUGCUGAGCUCUGGGUGGAGGGGACUGUCAGGCUGAAUGGCUUUUUGGGGUCCUCUUAAGAACAGGUUAAAGAGAAGAAGAAGAAAAGCCCAGGACCUACUACCAGCUAGUGCACCAGCCACCUGUUUUCCAUAGAUUCUCCUUACAGCUGAUGGCUUUUCUAAGAAAGCUUCAGCUCAACCUUAUCACAAUCACCUGGCAGCACUCACUAUUAGCCCCAAAGGCCAGUGCACAUCUGUGUGCUACCUCAGGAAGCUCAGUCGCUCUCUGUGGGACAAAACCUGGUUUGGGCCCAAGAGCUGACUCUGCUCCCUGCUAGCUGAACUAUCCAGCUGUAGGAUGCAGCUGGAUGCUGAAGGGCAGAGUGUGUAACCCUCUGUGAAAGCCAGGCUCCAAAGGCAGCCCUUGAUGCCCCAGCAGUGCUGCUGGAAGCGCUGGCAGCACUUGGCACAGAUGGGAUGGAGCCUUCCCACAGCUCUGUCCCCUGGCACCGAGGGUGGCACAGCAGAGAGGCUGAUGGAAGUAAAACAAACGCUGGAUUUCAAUGGACGCUGAUGGGACUGAAAGCCCCAGCCCAGAGCUGCUCCCUGCCCAGCACAGGAGCUCCCAGUGCUGCUGCAGGGCACAGGCUCUGAGGGAACCCUGCAGCUGGGACAGGAACGCAGCAACAACAAUUCCCAGGCACAAAGAGAUCCCCACCUGCUCCAACAACUGAACCUCUGUGGCUCAGCCUCACGGGGUGUCCCUGCUCCAGGCAGGAUGAGCCACACAGCCCCCGAGGCUGGGCUCACACCCUGCCCUACCAGCAGAAAACAAGGGGUUCAUGAAGCUUUGGGGACACCUUCUGUCCCCAGAGUGCUUUGACAAAACAUCCAGCAGUGUGGAUCUUUAAUAAAGACAGCUUGUACCUAUCCUUGCAA